UACGUAGGGUGCAAGCGUUGUCCGGAAUUACUGGGCGUAAAGAGCUUGUAGGUGGUUUGUCGCGUUGUUCGUGAAAACUCACAGCUCAACUGUGGGCGUGCGGGCGAUACGGGCAGACUAGAGUACUGCAGGGGAGACUGGAAUUCCUGGUGUAGCGGUGGAAUGCGCAGAUAUCAGGAGGAACACCGGUGGCGAAGGCGGGUCUCUGGGCAGUAACUGACGCUGAGAAGCGAAAGCGUGGGGAGCGAACAGG
RNAcentral lists this ribosomal RNA (253 nucleotides) under uncultured bacterium. RNAcentral describes it as "partial 16S ribosomal RNA". It matches the Rfam family "Bacterial small subunit ribosomal RNA", at positions 524 to 776 of the family's 1533-position model. The record is from RNAcentral.